CGUGAGGGACAGAGCCAAGAUGGCGGCGGCGUGAGGGGAGUGAUGGCGGGGCUGGCGCGGCGAAUGCUCUGCAGGGCGGCGGGGCCGCCGAGCACCCGCCAGCUGCGGGAGGCCGAGGAGGCCGCCCCGGUGUUCCAGUACGCGGGGAAGGCGGCCAAGCGCAGCGACCGCGUGUUCGUGUGGGGCUUCAGCUUCUCGGGCGCCCUGGGCAUCCCCAGCUUCGUGAAGCCGGACGCGAGCUGGAAGAAGCCGCGGCGCAUCCAGACCACGCCGUACCGCCUGGAGACACAGGAGAAGAUAUCCUCUGCUGCCUGCGGUUAUGGAUUCACACUGCUGGCUUCUAACACGAGAGACAUCACCAAGGUGUGGGGCAUGGGGCUCAACAAGGAUUCCCAGCUGGGAUUCCAGAGAAGCAGAAGAGAUCAAACUAAGGGCUAUGAAUAUGUCUUGGAACCAUCUCCAAUUCCUUUACCACUGGAGAAGCCACAGCAAACUCGAGUCUUGCAAGUGUCCUGUGGGAGAGCCCAUUCCCUGGUCCUGACAGAUAAUGAAGGAGUUUUCACAAUGGGAAACAAUUCUUAUGGACAGUGUGGCCGGAAGGUUGUUGAAGAUGAAAUUUACAGUGAAAGCCAUCUCAUUCAUCAGCUGAAGGAAUUUGACAGCAGAGUUGUCCAGGUUGUGUGUGGGCAGGACCACAGUCUGUUUAGAACCAAGAAAGGUACAGUCUAUGCAUGUGGAUGGGGAGCUGAUGGACAAACAGGUCUUGGACACUAUAACAUCACCAGUGUUCCUACUAAGCUGCAUGGGGACAUUGCUGGAGUAAACAUUAUCCAGGUCUCUUCCUAUGGGGACUGUUGUCUGGCUGUUUCAGAUGAAGGAGAUGUCUUUGGCUGGGGAAAUUCAGAAUACUUGCAAUUGGCAUCUGUCACAGAAACCACACAGGUGAAUGUUCCCAGGCAUUUGCCAUUCAAGAUUGGGAAGGUAAAGGAGGCUGCCUGUGGAGGGACUGGCAACAUGGUGCUGACAGAAGAAGGAAAUGUUUUUGUCUGGGGAUAUGGAAUUCUUGGGAAAGGACCAAAUCUAAUAGAGACAGCAGUGCCAGAGAUGAUCCCACCCAGCCUUUUUGGCUGGUCAGACUUCAGUCCAGACAUCCGUGUUGCUCAUGUUCGCUGUGGACUCAGCCAAUUUGCAGCACUUACAAACAAAGGAGAACUGUUUGUGUGGGGGAAGAAUCUAAGAGGGUGCCUAGGAACUGGAAGAAUGGAAGACCAGUAUUUCCCAUGGAGGGUGUGGCUGGACAUUGGGGGUUAUGCCCUUUCAGACAGGCAGCUCCUGUCUGACAGUGAUGUGGCAAUGUGCCAGGAUCCUUGUCUGUGACCUCCUGCCCUACAACUAGCUGCUGUCCUCUGUCUUGCCUCUAAGGAAAAACUUGCUUUUUUAGACUCUGCUUUCCUCAAGUUUGAAGUCAGUUUUAAGUGAGUAAGCUUCAGGAGUGAGGCGCUGGUCUAUUGGCAUCAAAGCACAAACUGCCUUAGGGUGACUGUACCCGGAGAGGUGGUGGAUGUGGCAUGUGGAGUUGAUCACAUGGUAAGCAUGGUCAGGUCUUUCACCUAGAGAUGUUGCUGGGUCUCAGCACUGCACCAGGGCUUGGUUUUGAGCUUCUUGGAAAGGAAAAGUCAUUUUAUGGAACCAAGUGACUGUGAGCAGAGACAGCCAAAGCAGUAUCUGGGUGCCUUAUCAUCCCUGCCUCGCUGAAAUGCUGUGGCCUGGCUGCAGGAAGGAAGCACAUUCCCCGAGGAGCGUGGAGAUGCAGGGAGUGCUCUUGCUCCUUUGUGAUGAGCUCCCAGAGAAUCUGAGACCCAGCCCCACGCUGGUGAGCCCCUCUGUGCAUGCAGAGCAUCUCCCUUAAGGAAGACUGGCAUGGGAUGAAAUCUACAACACAGGACAAUGAAAUAUGGACAUUUCCUGUCACCAGUUCUGGAGUCAGUGUUGGGCACAGCCAAACUAUUUCUCAAGGGAAAACUUGGGUGGUUUUUUAUUACUAUCAUGUGGAAGAGAGGUCAUGCUAUGUCUUGAAGCCCAGCACAGCUGUCCUGGGUGGCCAUCCUCAUCUGCACUGUGCCCAGGCUGUUACCCUGUGCAGAAACUGAAUGCACAGCCCUCGCCUGGAGGCAGUGAUGUGUCUGUGGGCUGUUGAAGGCCUUCUGUAUUAGUGCUAAAGACUGAACACCAAAGAACAUUCAAAGAGUGAGAGCCUGUUUGCAGGGGUAAGUACUGUCAAAUAAGACAGCAGGCUCUGUGCUGCAGGACAGAUGGAUGGUGACAAGCCAAUCUAGCUUAUUGAGGGAGGCUGGAAACAAAGCCCUUGAUCAGCUGCCUGCAAAAUCAGUGCUCAGGCAUGGAUGUGAGCAAUGCUCACCACCCCUCAGGUACCUUUUGUCUCCUUGUGCUGAUCACACAUCACUGCCUUUGAUUGGUUUUGGAUUCCCUACACUCUUUCUGUUUUCAGAGGUAUGGUGGCUCUCAGUUGCAAUUAGCUGGGGAUUUCAGGAUUGCCUAGCAGGGGAAGGAAUGGGUAAAAAGCAGAGCUACAUUCCUUGGUACCUUCUUAGCAGUAAGCUGAUAGAGAUGGGAUGCAACAGCUGUAUCUGUAGCAAGCACUUACCCAAUCUCACACCCAAGUGUGGGGAACUGCCUCCUGUGAAACACUCCAAACAUCAGGCAGAGUUGUGACUUUUCUCUCUGUGUGGGAUACUUCAGUGUGCAAACUAUUUAGGUGGAAUCCAAGCUAGUAGGUUUUCAAUAAAGUGAUUAUAAAAUCUUUAUCAGUAGUAAUAGGAAUAUUGUUGAGCAUGAUUUGCUCAUGCAUUGAUCAGCUGUGCAUUUGAACUGCAGUAUUUUGGGUCAGUUAUGUGACAGGAAACCAAUUUUGUCAGCUGGGCUGGCUCCAUACCUGCAGGACUGAUAGCAUUGUAGUCAGGUAUUGCAUCCAUAUAUUGGCUUCAUUAGAUGAAAUUCUGUGCCAAAAUUCAGUGUGUAAACUUUAAUUAAAGUAAGUUUUGAAGGGUUUGCAUGAAAUACAGGAAAGGUGAACCAAAGUACAUGGAAAUAGAGCCACAUCUCUUGAGUUGUUGUUGAUGUUCCUGUGUAACACGCACUGCUGGGUGGGUGAGGCAGAACAGAAAGCUACUAUGAAACUGGCAGACCUUCAGUACUGUGAAUUCCCAUUUGGUUGGCCUUAAUUUAUACCUUAUUCAACAUGCAACUUGUGCAGUGUGUGGUGCCCAGGCAUGUCUUGUUGGCCUCAUGGGAGCUGCUCUCAUUCACAGCUGUUUGCUGGUGCACCUUGGGGCUGGGCCUUCUGAAGAGCUGGGUUGAGUCCUUGUGUUGCAUUCUUGCUGUACAAUAAAUUGCAAAUUCUGUGUUAA
Poecile atricapillus (Black-capped chickadee) is the source of this 3428-nucleotide RNA transcript. It is a transcript of the gene named RCC1 like, with no coding region annotated. The record is from RefSeq and is a predicted model, not a curated record. NCBI's taxonomy places the organism in Eukaryota, Metazoa, Chordata, Aves, Passeriformes, Paridae. The transcript is spliced from 12 exons.